RNAcentral lists this ribosomal RNA (253 nucleotides) under uncultured bacterium. RNAcentral describes it as "partial 16S ribosomal RNA". It matches the Rfam family "Bacterial small subunit ribosomal RNA", at positions 524 to 776 of the family's 1533-position model. The record is from RNAcentral.
UACGGAGGGGGCUAGCGUUGUUCGGAAUUACUGGGCGUAAAGCGCACGUAGGCGGACGAGAAAGUCAGAGGUGAAAUCCCAGGGCUCAACCUUGGAACUGCCUUUGAAACUCCUUGUCUUGAGGUCGAGAGAGGUGAGUGGAAUUCCGAGUGUAGAGGUGAAAUUCGUAGAUAUUCGGAGGAACACCAGUGGCGAAGGCGGCUCACUGGAUCGAUACUGACGCUGAGGUGCGAAAGCGUGGGGAGCAAACAGG